CCCUUAGAUGUUCUGGGCCGCACGCGUGCUACACUGAGUGGAUCAGCGGGUCAGGUUGCGCGAAAGUGUUUCCUAAUCUUAAAAUCCGCUCGUGAUGGGGAUUGACGGUUGCAAUUUUCCGUCAUGAACGAGGAAUACCUUGUAAGCGCGGGUCAUCAUCCCGCGCUGAAUACGUCCCUGCCCUUUGUACACACCGCCCGUCGCUCCUACCGAUUGAGUGGUCCGGUGAGGCUUUGGGAUCUGAGCAAAGAGAGCGUUUCGCUCGUUUUGCCCGGAAAACUCAGUCGAACCUUAUCAUUUAGAGGAAGGAGAAGUCGUAACA
This 322-nucleotide ribosomal RNA is filed under the name uncultured eukaryote. Its description in RNAcentral is "partial 18S ribosomal RNA". It matches the Rfam family "Eukaryotic small subunit ribosomal RNA", at positions 1470 to 1796 of the family's 1831-position model. The record is from RNAcentral.